UCCGCAUAAAAUGAUAUAAAGAUGUAGUAUAUAAAUAUAGUAAGAGUAGCAUUAUUCUUGCGUGCGAGUAAGAUUCUUAAUUGUAGACAUAGUUACCUUCUUCGUUUGAUGAAGGUUAACUUUUUAUACAGUCGUUGGGUGAUUAGUUUCUUGCCAUUGAAAGCCACCUGGCAUAUGCCUAUUUGGUCUGUUGAUUGGCUGUUUGACUUGGGGCGUGAUAUAAUUAAGGGGUUUAAUGCAUGUGAUAUUUUCCCAUUACAUACAUAAUAGCCGGCCCUCGGUUUUCUAAGGCCUAGGGCAAAUUUUCUCAAGUGUGGCCCUUUAUACAAAUUAAAUAUUAAAAUUAAAAAAUUUAUUAAAAUUAUAAGAAUUUACGAAAGAUAAAGAAAAACACUUUGGGUCCUCAUUAAAAUUUUGUUUGAGGAAAACCUAAUGGGACAAAACCCCAAACGAAAAAAAAAGAGUACCCCGCAUAGGAAACAUUGCAUUCACAAAUAAAAACCAGCUUUUGUUUGUUUAACAAAAUAUUUAUUCAAAGAUUCUUUGUAAACUUUGAGCAAUUUUUUUUUUUUUUCGUUCUUUGUCUCUUGAGAUUUCCAAAAGUUGUUUCUUAGGAACCAUUUUUUAAUUUUUAUAAUAAACAUAACACAAUAAAAAUAAAAAUAAAACUAAUUAACAAAGAACAAUAAAACUUGGAUUUUGAGUAUAUUUUCUUCAACUUGAAACUUCCAAUUAUAAAGAACAAGAAUAACAUCCAAGUUUUCUGUUGAAUCAAAUAAUAAAGAAAACAAAUUAAUUAAUAAAGAUAUGUAUUACAAUUUACAAAAUUUAUACAUCUAUAUCUAUCUAUAUAAAAAAAAAAAAUUACCUUCAAAGAAAGCCAAUGGUCUAGCUUGUAGAUGAGAAUCACACAAAAACAAAAAAAAACAAAAAAUGCUUGGGUUAUGACCUUCUGAGAAGGUCUGAUAUGUCAUGAAGGGUUUUUUCAUCUUUUUAUUUUUGGGCUAAGAAGGUUUUUUUUUUUUUUAAAUAAAAAAUAAAAAUAUUUAAUGUGGAAGAAGGUUUGUUGAUUUCCCCAUGUUUUGUUUAUUUUGUUUUAUAUUAUAUUAUAUAAUUAAUAAUUGAUUUUACUUCUUCAGUAAGUUUCUUGAGAAUAUAAAAAGUAAUUGAU
This 1171-nucleotide long non-coding RNA is filed under the name Prunus persica (peach). Its description in RNAcentral is "long non-coding RNA (PPER_LNC003246)". Lineage: Eukaryota; Viridiplantae; Streptophyta; Magnoliopsida; Rosales; Rosaceae. The record is from RNAcentral.